RNAcentral lists this ribosomal RNA (17 nucleotides) under Leccinum sp. R14. Its description in RNAcentral is "partial 5.8S ribosomal RNA". The record is from RNAcentral. Lineage: Eukaryota; Fungi; Basidiomycota; Agaricomycetes; Boletales; Boletaceae. RNAcentral also lists the same sequence under 2 other names.
CAACUUUCAGCAAUGGA